AUUAGGAAUAUAGGCAAUAUCCUAGGAGGAUUAGGAAUAUAGGUGUGUUUCCUACUUUGAUUGUAAAUCAUUUAAUAUUCCUUGUAUCACAAGGAUUGGAGUUGUAUAAAUAUUACCUCCCAACGGGAGAAGAAUAACCAGAAUUAUUAGAACUCUAAACUACAAUUUUAUCUUUAAUCUUCUAUGACAUAAUCUUUCAUAUCUUUCAAACGUAAUGUUCUAAACAAUUUAUGUUUCCGCAAUAAUGCGCGCACCAUUUUUAUUAACAUUUCUAAUAAUUUAUAUUGUAACCUCACUACUAUAUUAAUAUCUCGAGAAAUUUAACCUGGUUAGAAAUUUAUACCGUAGCCUGACUACUUUAUUAAUAUCUCGAGAAAUUUAAUAUGGCUACCGUAGUCACUACUUACUUUUGACUUUUGUCCUGCAUCAUGGUCUGGAUUCAUAGUCUUAUGAUAAGUGGUGUAGGUGUAACAUCUUCAGGGCUUAGCUAGGUGGGAGGUUUAAAGCUUGACCAUGGGGCUCUUAUGGGUCUUCCCAGCUUCUCCCUCUUGCCUUUAUCCUUGGGAGAUGCUGUCUCUCCAUCUUUU
Molecule: long non-coding RNA, 587 nt
Filed under: Malus domestica (apple)
Lineage: Eukaryota; Viridiplantae; Streptophyta; Magnoliopsida; Rosales; Rosaceae
Description: long non-coding RNA (MDOM_LNC002294)
Source: RNAcentral